UACGUAGGGUGCGAGCGUUACCCGGAUUUAUUGGGCGUAAAGAGCGUGUAGGCGGUUCGGUAAGUCUGUCGUGAAAUCCUGAGGCUCAACCUUGGACGUGCGAUGGAUACUGCCGGGCUAGAGGAUGGUAGAGGCGAGUGGAAUUCUCGGUGUAGCGGUGAAAUGCGCAGAUAUCGGGAGGAACACCAGUAGCGAAGGCGGCUCGCUGGGCCAUUCCUGACGCUGAGACGCGAAAGCUAGGGGAGCGAACAGG
Molecule: ribosomal RNA, 253 nt
Filed under: uncultured bacterium
Lineage: Bacteria
Description: partial 16S ribosomal RNA
Rfam family: Bacterial small subunit ribosomal RNA
Source: RNAcentral